RNAcentral lists this long non-coding RNA (249 nucleotides) under Elaeis guineensis (African oil palm). RNAcentral describes it as "long non-coding RNA (EGUI_LNC027914)". Lineage: Eukaryota; Viridiplantae; Streptophyta; Magnoliopsida; Arecales; Arecaceae. The record is from RNAcentral.
UCCUAAAGACUUCAUCACAAAACAGGAGUUCAAAAUAAGAUGUACACAAUGAUAAAAAAAUUAAAUAAUAUUUAUUAAUUUAAUAAUUUAUAUAUAAUUAUAAUAAUAAAUUCAACCAUCAACAGAUUGACGAUUGGAUUGAAACAUAAUUUUCAAUAGUUAUGGCCUCAACUUGUCACUCCGAUCAUUGUUAGAUAGUGAUAAAUUGAGAGGAUCUAAUUUUGAUAGCUGGUAUCGAAAAUUGAAGAU